RNAcentral lists this ribosomal RNA (253 nucleotides) under uncultured bacterium. Its description in RNAcentral is "partial 16S ribosomal RNA". It matches the Rfam family "Bacterial small subunit ribosomal RNA", at positions 524 to 776 of the family's 1533-position model. The record is from RNAcentral.
UACGAAGGGUGCAAGCGUUACUCGGAAUUACUGGGCGUAAAGGGUGCGUAGGUGGUUUGUUAAGUCUGCUGUGAAAUCCCCGGGCCCAACCUGGGAAUGGCAGUGGAUACUGGCAAGCUAGAGUGCGGUAGAGGGUAGUGGAAUUCCCGGUGUAGCAGUGAAAUGCGUAGAGAUCGGGAGGAACACCAGUGGCGAAGGCGGCUACCUGGACCAGCACUGACACUGAAGCACGAAAGCGUGGGGAGCAAACAGG